Molecule: non-coding RNA, 2195 nt
Organism: Bactrocera oleae (olive fruit fly)
Lineage: Eukaryota; Metazoa; Arthropoda; Insecta; Diptera; Tephritidae
Source: RefSeq, a predicted model, not a curated record
AACACUAAUAAAAAAAAAUUUUAUAUUCGAAAAUAAUCCGUGAAAAGUGUGAAAACGCGUCGUAGGCGAGUACAAUACGAAAACGAACGAAUAGCAGCGGAAAAGCUAACUGUCAGGCCAUGGCUACUAACCAAACAGCUGGAGGCAUCGAGAGGCACGACCAAAAUACACACACACACACACAUACACUGAAAUACAUGAAACAAUUCUAGAGCGUGCAAGUGAAAAAUCUAACGGAAAAUGUGCUAACUAAGUCCAUUCACACAUACACAUACAUAUACAUCUGUCUGUAUGUGUAUAUAUGUAUGUGCGUAGAGUGUUGUUGACAUGACGCAUGGUGUCCCGGUGACUUGGUUGGUCAGUGGAUAGCUGGUCAAUUGGUUAAGAAAUUGUUUAUUUUGCCAUUGAGCGCCAUUUAACAGCUGAUAGACCCCGCGGUCAGGCUAUACUAGGUAUGCUUGUAUUAAAAUAUGCGAAAGCCUGCGCAGUUCAAGAUAUGUUUAUAUGUAAAAAUGUAUCGAAAGCUACACUUUGCACAUGUGUGGGCGCGGUUGUGCGUGAGUGUAAAUAAUUCGACGAUACGCAACAAAGGUUUGAUAAGUCCAUUUAAUUAACAAAUGCUGGUAAAAAUAGGUGUGUUCCCCAGCGAAUGUGGGAUAAGCAGCGAAUGAGAUUUUUUAUUUCACUUUCAACCCUAACCUAAUUCGAUCAAUAGCUGACGAGUUAUACCGUGUCACGCAAAUAAAUAAAUAUACAAAAUAAAAUUAAAAUAAAUAAAACAGUAGAACAGUAAAAGCAAAUGCAAAAAAAUAAAACAAAUUAAAUCUUGUGGAAACUAAAUUACGCAGCACGUGUCUUUGCCAAAGCAGCAUGCUACAAUAAGGAUUAUGACUGUCACACCAGUUGCUGCCCCAAAAAUGCCGCUUUUGGUACAAAGGCAUAAAAAAACUGCAAUUUUAUUACUGACAAGUAAGCUCCGUAGGUUAAGUAAAAAAAAUGGCUAUCCAAAUUGCCUUAGACACUCACUUAAUUUUUUUGUGCCACCCUGUAUAUUUUUUUGUUUUCGUAUUUCCUAUAAAAUUGCGUACAUAAGCACUUAUGCAGCAAAGCAAUUUUUCCGCCUGCGACAGUUGAUUUGCCUUGGUGGCAAUAACCAAUUUACGAAAACGCAUGUUCAACAUAUGUACUUGAGUAUGUAUGUAUGAGUAUCGUAUGUAUAUGUGGUUAUUGAUUUGACAUGAUGGCGGAUCGCAUACGGAAGAAAGUGGCAGCGCAACAACUACAACUAGUUCAUUGACCGGCCCAAAUCAGCUGUACGGUGUUAAUUAAAAAUUCCAAGCCAAACAAUAAAUGUGCAAAAGAAUUCACGACGGCACUAGAUGUAUGCAAAUGAAGAGCUAUCGCACAAAUCCACAGCACAUCAGUCAUUAGAUACCAACACGAUUACGAGAUAAACGUAUGCAUAAACGAAAAAAUAUUAAUCAACGACAAAAGCAAGCAGGUCAUACACUACAAGCGCCAAAUAAUUUUCUGUUUUGAUAUAGAGAUUAUGCUUUCGAUAUCAUUGCUUAUUAAUUUAACGUUAUGUAUACGUAAAUGAAAAUAACGAAAUACAUACAUACAUGCAGACAAAUAAAUGGUGAUAUUUUAUCAGCUGGUAGCCAAGUGCGCCCAUUGUAAAUGAACAACAAAGUGAAAGCGUCAAAGCAUAUCUAACAACAAAAUAUGCAUACGGCGUUUAAAUAUAUAUAUAUACGUACGUAUUUAUAGAUAUCUUAUCAAUUGCGAAGCGCGGGUUAUUAAAAACUCAUAAAUAAAUAACAAUGAGUAGAAAUAACAAGCAGACGCUGCUACUUAAUGAGCUGCAGAAGGUGCACAAUUAAGCAGACUUGUUAAACAAAAAUUAAAUAACAUACAUACAUACACACAUGUGUGUGCUCCAUGUACAUGCAUAGUUAUUAUAAUUUAAUUAUUGAAAACUCAAUUUAUCACAACCAUAUCGGUUAUGAAAAUGUAUGUAUUUGCUAAUGACUCAACUAAUAAAUGCAAUAAUCACUUUUAUGCGCGUAUGAGAGAAAUACAAAUUUUUAAAUGCAGCAUUUGCGCUAAGCAAUCGCAUACUUUGAAUAAAAUAAUGUCGAAACAAGCACAUAUUUCACCUUUGUUAAUGGCUUGUUGAGGCACUUUGAUUACAG